CCUACGGGAGGCAGCAGUGAGGAAUAUUGGUCAAUGGGCGCAAGCCUGAACCAGCCAAGUAGCGUGAAGGAUGACUGCCCUACGGGUUGUAAACUUCUUUUAUAAAGGAAUAAAGUGAGGCACGUGUGCCUUUUUGUAUGUAUUUUAUGAAUAAGGAUCGGCUAACUCCGUGCCAGCCGCCGCGGUAAUACGGAGGAUCCGAGCGUUAUCCGGAUUUAUUGGGUUUAAAGGGAGCGUAGAUGGGUUGUUAAGUCAGUUGUGAAAGUUUGCGGCUCAACCGUAAAAUUGCAAUUGAUACUGGCAGGCUGGAGUACAGUUGAGGUAGGCGGAAUGCGUGGUGUAGCGGUGAAAUGCUUAGAUAUCACGAAGAACUCCGAUUGCGAAGGCAGCCUACUAAACUGCCACUGACAUUGAUGCUCGAAAGUGUGGGUAGCAAACAGGAUUAGAUACCCCUGUAGUC
Molecule: ribosomal RNA, 460 nt
Filed under: uncultured bacterium
Lineage: Bacteria
Description: partial 16S ribosomal RNA
Rfam family: Bacterial small subunit ribosomal RNA
Source: RNAcentral